RNAcentral lists this transfer RNA (74 nucleotides) under Oscillospiraceae bacterium. RNAcentral's name for it is "tRNA-Gly". It matches the Rfam family "tRNA". Rfam says of the family: Transfer RNA (tRNA) molecules are approximately 80 nucleotides in length. Their secondary structure includes four short double-helical elements and three loops (D, anti-codon, and T loops). Lineage: Bacteria; Bacillati; Bacillota; Clostridia; Eubacteriales; Oscillospiraceae. The record is from RNAcentral.
GCGGGUGUAGUUUAGUGGCAGAAUCCUAGCUUCCCAAGCUAGUCGUGUGGGUUCGAUUCCCAUCACCCGCUCCA